This 497-nucleotide ribosomal RNA is filed under the name uncultured bacterium. RNAcentral describes it as "partial 16S ribosomal RNA". It matches the Rfam family "Bacterial small subunit ribosomal RNA", at positions 28 to 507 of the family's 1533-position model. The record is from RNAcentral.
GAUGAACGCUGGCGGCGUGCCUAAUACAUGCAAGUCGAGCGAACGGACGAGAAGCUUGCUUCUCUGAUGUUAGCGGCGGACGGGUGAGUAACACGUGGAUAACCUCCCUAUAAGACUGGGAUAACUUCGGUAAACCGGAGCUAAUACCGGAUAAGAUUUUGAACCGCAUGGUUCAAAAGUGAAAGACGGUCUUGCUGUCACUUAUAGAUGGAUCCGCGCUGCAUUAGCUAGUUGGUAAGGUAACGGCUUACCAAGGCAACGAUGCAUAGCCGACCUGAGAGGGUGAUCGGCCACACUGGAACUGAGACACGGUCCAGACUCCUACGGGAGGCAGCAGUAGGGAAUCUUCCGCAAUGGGCGAAAGCCUGACGCAGCAACGCCGCGUGAGUGAUGAAGGUCUUCGGAUCGUAAAAUUCUGUUAUUAGGGAAGAACAUAUGUGUAAGUAACUGUGCACAUCUUGACGGUACCUAAUCAGAAAGCCCCGGCUAACUACGUG